UGAGACAGGUGCUGCAUGGCUGUCGUCAGCUCGUGUUGUGAAAUGUUGGGUUAAGUCCCGCAACGAGCGCAACCCUUAUCCUUUGUUGCCAGCGAUUCGGUCGGGAACUCAAAGGAGACUGCCAGUGAUAAACUGGAGGAAGGUGGGGAUGACGUCAAGUCAUCAUGGCCCUUACGAGUAGGGCUACACACGUGCUACAAUGGCAUAUACAAAGAGAAGCGACCUCGCGAGAGCAAGCGGACCUCAUAAAGUAUGUCGUAGUCCGGAUUGGAGUCUGCAACUCGACUCCAUGAAGUCGGAAUCGCUAGUAAUCGUGGAUCAGAAUGCCACGGUGAAUACGUUCCCGGGCCUUGUACACACCGCCCGUCACACCAUGGGAGUGGGUUGCAAAAGAAGUAGGUAGCUUAACCUUCGGGAGGGCGCUUACCACUUUGUGAUUCAUGACUGGGGUGAAGUCGUAACAAGGUAACCGUAGGGGAACCUGCGGUUGGAUCACCUCCUUACCUGAAAGAA
RNAcentral lists this ribosomal RNA (513 nucleotides) under Klebsiella oxytoca. RNAcentral's name for it is "bacterial SSU rRNA". It matches the Rfam family "Bacterial small subunit ribosomal RNA", at positions 1030 to 1533 of the family's 1533-position model. The record is from RNAcentral. Lineage: Bacteria; Pseudomonadati; Pseudomonadota; Gammaproteobacteria; Enterobacterales; Enterobacteriaceae. RNAcentral also lists the same sequence under 1 other name.